GGAAGCCUCAAAAUGCAUUUACACCCCUCGCCCCCGCCGCAGAUUUGCUUAAAAAUGCCAGAAUGAGCAUGUGCUUAGAAAAAUCAUUUGCUUUUUAGACCCCCCCCACCUCUACCCCCAGCUCCAGCCCCCAACUUGGUAAAAAAAAUUGCAAAGGGAAAGGAUCUAGCCAGGAUGGAGUGGAUGACGACACACACGUGCCCUUUGGAAAAGCUGCGACUGUCAUACGUGACAGCCUAGCUUAAAGGACAGAGCUGAGUGCAAGGGAAUGGGGGGAAACCAGAUGAAACGAAGUGAGAAGCGAACACAAAUAAUUGACACCAGAAGUCAACUGCUGAGCUUUUUGGAAUGAGAUUACAGUGGAAACAGCCAUGCCAAGAAAUCUGCACUGGUAUUCUUGCUUGGUUCUUACUACAUCACAUCGGGAGGUCCAAGCGUUCAUGCCGAGUUUGAUUCCUUUCCUAAGACAAUGACCACCAAAUACCUCCAAGGCAAGAUGCAGUUUCUCUGACUACAUGGAUAAUGUGCUCUUGAGUGAGGUUGCCUAGGAAGCAAGAAGAGCUGGAGCUGGAGUUACCUACACGGGUGCUGGGAACUGAACACGUCUUCUGCAAGAGCAACAGGGUUUCUUUGUGUAGCCCUAGAUGUCCUGGAACUUGCUCUGUAGACCAGGAUCUCAGAGAUUCUCCUACCUCUGCCUCUUGAGUGCUGGGAUCAAAGGUGUGUACCUCCACUGCCUACUCCUGGAAUCCAGUUGUAGAGAAGGAGGAGUGAUGAACAAAGGGGUCAAGACCAUGCUGGAGAAACCCACAGAAACAGCAGAUCUGAGCAAGGGGGAGCUCACAGAUCCCAUUUUGACAGCUGGGGAACCAACCCUGCUGAAUGUGCAUAUCAACUAGGAGGCCUGGGCAGUCUAUAGGGCCUCUGACAGUGGAACCAGUAUUUAUCCCUAGUGCAUGAGCGAACUUCGGGAGCCCAUUCCACAUAGAGGGAUACUCUCUCAGCCUAGAUACAGGUGGGAGGGUCUAG
This 1029-nucleotide long non-coding RNA is filed under the name Cricetulus griseus (Chinese hamster). RNAcentral's name for it is "lncRNA (ENSCGRG00015040960.1)". Lineage: Eukaryota; Metazoa; Chordata; Mammalia; Rodentia; Cricetidae. The record is from RNAcentral.